GAUGAACGCUGGCGGCGUGCCUAAUACAUGCAAGUCGAGCGAACAGACGAGGAGCUUGCUCCUCUGACGUUAGCGGCGGACGGGUGAGUAACACGUGGAUAACCUACCUAUAAGACUGGGAUAACUUCGGGAAACCGGAGCUAAUACCGGAUAAUAUAUUGAACCGCAUGGUUCAAUAGUGAAAGACGGUUUUGCUGUCACUUAUAGAUGGAUCCGCGCCGCAUUAGCUAGUUGGUAAGGUAACGGCUUACCAAGGCAACGAUGCGUAGCCGACCUGAGAGAGUGAUCGGCCGCACUGGAACUGGGACACGGUCCAGACUCCUACGGGAGGCAGCAGUAGGGAAUCUUCCGCAAUGGGCGAAAGCCUGACGGAGCAACGCCGCGUGAGUGAUGAAGGUCUUCGGAUCGUAAAACUCUGUUAUUAGGGAAGAACAAAUGUGUAAGUAACUAUGCACGUCUUGACGGUACCUAAUCAGAAAGCCACGGCUAACUACGUG
Molecule: ribosomal RNA, 497 nt
Filed under: uncultured bacterium
Lineage: Bacteria
Description: partial 16S ribosomal RNA
Rfam family: Bacterial small subunit ribosomal RNA
Source: RNAcentral